CCUACGGGAGGCAGCAGUGAGGAAUAUUGGUCAAUGGACGCAAGUCUGAACCAGCCAUGCCGCGUGCAGGAAGACGGCUCUAUGAGUUGUAAACCGCUUUUGUACGGGGGUAAUCGCAGCUACGCGUCUCUUUAUGAAUGUAUCGUAUGAAUAAGGAUCGGCUAACUCCGUGCCAGCAGCCGCGGUAAUACGGAGGAUUCAAGCGUUAUCCGGAUUUAUUGGGUUUAAAGGGUGCGUAGGCGGUCGUGUAAGUUAGAGGUGAAAACCCGAGGCUCAACUUCGGAAUUGCCUCUGAUACUGUUCGGCUAGAGAGCAGUUGAGGUAGGCGGAAUGAAUGGUGUAGCGGUGAAAUGCUUAGAGAUCAUACAGAACACCGAUUGCGAAGGCAGCUUACCAAGCUACUUCUGACGUUGAGGCACGAAAGCGUGGGUAGCAAACAGGAUUAGAUACCCCGGUAGUC
This 460-nucleotide ribosomal RNA is filed under the name uncultured bacterium. RNAcentral describes it as "partial 16S ribosomal RNA". It matches the Rfam family "Bacterial small subunit ribosomal RNA", at positions 338 to 795 of the family's 1533-position model. The record is from RNAcentral.